RNAcentral lists this ribosomal RNA (254 nucleotides) under uncultured bacterium. RNAcentral's name for it is "partial 16S ribosomal RNA". It matches the Rfam family "Bacterial small subunit ribosomal RNA", at positions 524 to 776 of the family's 1533-position model. The record is from RNAcentral.
GACGAACCGUGCGAACGUUAUUCGGAAUCACUGGGCUUAAAGCGCGUGUAGGCGGAUGGGUACGUCGGUCGCUGAAAUCCCCCGGCUCAACCGGGGAACGGGCGCCGAAACGACCCGUCUCGAGGGACGUAGGGGGACCUGGAACUUCCGGUGGAGCGGUGAAAUGCGUUGAGAUCGGAAGGAACGCCCGUGGCGAAAGCGAGGUCCUGGACGUCUACUGACGCUGAGACGCGAAAGCCAGGGGAGCAAACGGG